CCUAUGGGAGGCUGCAGUGAGGAAUAUUGGUCAAUGGACGAGAGUCUGAACCAGCCAAGUAGCGUGAAGGAUGACUGCCCUAUGGGUUGUAAACUUCUUUUAUAUGGGAAUAAAAUGUUCCACGUGUGGGAUUUUGUAUGUACCAUAUGAAUAAGGAUCGGCUAACUCCGUGCCAGCAGCCGCGGUAAUACGGAGGAUCCGAGCGUUAUCCGGAUUUAUUGGGUUUAAAGGGGGCGUAGGUGGGUUGUUAAGUCAGUUGUGAAAGUUUGCGGUUCAACCGGAAAAUUGCAGUUGAAACUGGCAGUCAUGAAUACAGUAGAGGUGGGCGGAAUUCGGGGUGUAGCGGUGAAAUGCUUAGAGAUCACGAAGAACUCCGAUUGCGAAGGCAGUUCACUGGACUGCAACUGACACUGAGGCUCGAAAGUGUGGGUAUCAAACAGGAUUAGAUACCCGGGUAGUC
RNAcentral lists this ribosomal RNA (460 nucleotides) under uncultured bacterium. RNAcentral describes it as "partial 16S ribosomal RNA". It matches the Rfam family "Bacterial small subunit ribosomal RNA", at positions 338 to 795 of the family's 1533-position model. The record is from RNAcentral.